CCUACGGGCGGCAGCAGUGGGGAAUAUUGCGCAAUGGGCGAAAGCCUGACGCAGCGACGCCGCGUGAGGGAUGAAGGUCUUCGGAUCGUAAACCUCUGUCAGCAGGGAAGAAAAUGACGGUACCUGAAGAAGAAGCCCCGGCUAACUACGUGCCAGCAGCCGCGGUAAUACGUAGGGGGACAGCGGUCCCCGGAUAUACUGGGUGUAAAGGGGGCGCAGACGGCGAUGCAAGCCAGGAGUGAAAGCCCGGGGCACAAACCCGGGACUGCUCUUGGGACUGGUUGGCUAGAGUGCAGGAGGGGCAGGAGGAAUUCCUGGUGUAGCGGUGAAAUGCGUAGAUAUCAGGAGGAACACCAGUGGCGAAGGCAGCCUGCUGGACUGAAACUGACGUUGAGGCCCGAAAGCGUGGGGAGCAAACAGGAUUAGAUACCCCUGUAGUC
RNAcentral lists this ribosomal RNA (440 nucleotides) under uncultured bacterium. Its description in RNAcentral is "partial 16S ribosomal RNA". It matches the Rfam family "Bacterial small subunit ribosomal RNA", at positions 338 to 795 of the family's 1533-position model. The record is from RNAcentral.